GCGGCAGGCCUAACACAUGCAAGUCGAGCGGUAACAGGAGAAAGCUUGCUUUCUUGCUGACGAGCGGCGGACGGGUGAGUAAUGUAUGGGGAUCUGCCCGAUAGAGGGGGAUAACUACUGGAAACGGUGGCUAAUACCGCAUAAUGUCUACGGACCAAAGCAGGGGCUCUUCGGACCUUGCACUAUCGGAUGAACCCAUAUGGGAUUAGCUAGUAGGUGGGGUAAAGGCUCACCUAGGCGACAAUCUCUAACUGGUCUGAGAGGAUGAUCAAGCACACUGGGACUUAGACACCGUCCACACUCCCACCCGAGUUAUCACUGGGGAAUAUUGCACAAUGGGCGCAAGCCUGAUGCAGCCAUGCCGCGUGUGUGAAGAAGGCCUUAGGGUUGUAAAGUACUUUCAGCGGGGAGGAAGGUGAUAAGGUUAAUACCUUURUCAAUUGACGUUACCCGCAGAAGAAGCACCGGCUAACUCCGUGCCAGCAGCCGCGGAAAUACGGAGGGUGCAAGCGUUAAUCGGAAUUACUGGGCGUAAAGCGCACGCAGGCGGUCAAUUAAGUCAGAUGUGAAAGCCCCGAGCUUAACUUGG
Molecule: ribosomal RNA, 589 nt
Filed under: Proteus mirabilis
Lineage: Bacteria; Pseudomonadati; Pseudomonadota; Gammaproteobacteria; Enterobacterales; Morganellaceae
Description: bacterial SSU rRNA
Rfam family: Bacterial small subunit ribosomal RNA
Source: RNAcentral